This 255-nucleotide ribosomal RNA is filed under the name uncultured bacterium. RNAcentral's name for it is "partial 16S ribosomal RNA". It matches the Rfam family "Bacterial small subunit ribosomal RNA", at positions 524 to 776 of the family's 1533-position model. The record is from RNAcentral.
CACGUAGGGCGCAAGCGUUGUCCGGAAUUAUUGGGCGUAAAGAGCUCGUAGGUGGUUUGUUACGUCUGCUGUGAAAUCCUAGGGCUUAACCCUGGGCUUGCAGUGGAUACGGGCAGACUAGAGGUAGGUAGGGGAGAAUGGAAUUCCUGGUGUAGCGGUGAAAUGCGCAGAUAUCAGGAGGAACACCGGUGGCGAAGGCGGUUCUCUGGGCCUUACCUGACACUGAGGAGCGAAAAGCGUGGGGGAGCGAACAGG